Molecule: unclassified non-coding RNA, 549 nt
Filed under: Hevea brasiliensis (rubber tree)
Lineage: Eukaryota; Viridiplantae; Streptophyta; Magnoliopsida; Malpighiales; Euphorbiaceae
Source: RNAcentral
UGAGCACAUUCCACCUGCUUUUAGCCCCAAACCUGCCCCUGAGCACAAGCCACCAACUCACUUUCCUAAGCCACCAAUCCCUGCCCAUAAACCUCCUAGAAAAGAGAAGCCAGGACCAAAGCAUGAGCCAUUUACCCCAGCUGAACCUCCUAAAGUAGAGAAACCAGUACCAGAACACAAGCCACCAACUCUAUCUCCCAAACCAGCAUUUUUGCCACCAAUCCAUAAGCCAUUUCCGCCUUAUGGUCACUUUCCAGCACACCCUCCAACGGAGAGUGGUGAAGCUCCUCAUAAGCCACCACGGAAGACGACGCCUCCCCCCAUUCCACAAAAGAAGCCACCUAGUCCACACCACAAAGCACCUCCACCAACCCAUGCCUACUGAAUUAGUACUGAUGCUGAGAGAUUGCUGGUUAGAAAUAAGAGCUCAUAAGUAGUCACAUAUGCUUUUUAUCUAUAGAACUCAUGUUAUUAUUGCAGUGGUUGCCCUACAGUGGUAGCCAAUGGGCAUAUCCUUAUACUUAUCCUUGUGAAAGCACUGAGUGCUAC